RNAcentral lists this ribosomal RNA (468 nucleotides) under uncultured bacterium. Its description in RNAcentral is "partial 16S ribosomal RNA". It matches the Rfam family "Bacterial small subunit ribosomal RNA", at positions 28 to 507 of the family's 1533-position model. The record is from RNAcentral.
GACGAACGCUGGCGGCGUGCUUAACACAUGCAAGUCGAACGGAAAGGCCCUGCUUUUGUGGGGUGCUCGAGUGGCGAACGGGUGAGUAACACGUGAGUAACCUGCCCUUGACUUUGGGAUAACUUCAGGAAACGGGGGCUAAUACCGGAUAGGAGCUCAUGCUGCAUGGUGGGGGUUGGAAAGUUUCGGCGGCUGGGGAUGGACUCGCGGCUGAUCAGCUUGUUGGUGGGGUAGUGGCUUACCAAGGCGUUGACGGGUAGCCGGCCUGAGAGGGUGACAGGCCACAUUGGGACUGAGAUACGGCCCAGACUCCUACGGGAGGCAGCAGUGGGGAAUAUUGCACAAUGGGCGGAAGCCUGAUGCAGCAACGCCGCGUGCGGGAUGACGGCCGUCGGGUUGUAAACCGCGUGCGCCUGUGACGAAGCGUGAGUGACGGUAAUGGGUAAAGAAGCACCGGCUAACUACGUG